UUUCUGAAAUUUCCAUGGCUUCGGUCGCCUCGUUGAUCGUGAGACCGGCAAAGUAAUGAAGCUUGACCAGCUGGAUGGUUUGCGGAUCACCCCGGGCAAACUUCUCCAGGGCAUCGUUCAACACAAGAAGGGCCUCAUCGUUGGUAGCCGCCUUGGUUACCUCCAGACGCUCCCAGUUCCAGGCAUCCAUGUCGAUCCGUUGCUGGCCUCCACCAUGGCGAAUCCGUUGCCUUCGUCGUGCCCGAUCCACGAGGAUAUGGCGCAUCGCCUCCGCCACCGCGGCAAAGAACUGUGCCCGGUUGGCCCAAUCCUUUUGCUCGUCCCCGCCUAAUCUCAACCAGGCUUCAUGUACGAGUGCCGUCGCCUGCAGGGU
RNAcentral lists this ribosomal RNA (373 nucleotides) under uncultured eukaryote. Its description in RNAcentral is "partial small subunit ribosomal RNA". The record is from RNAcentral.